This is a long non-coding RNA of Papaver somniferum (opium poppy), 1512 nucleotides long. RefSeq lists it as uncharacterized. The transcript has 4 exons. NCBI's taxonomy places the organism in Eukaryota, Viridiplantae, Streptophyta, Magnoliopsida, Ranunculales, Papaveraceae. The record is from RefSeq and is a predicted model, not a curated record.
UUCUUCCCUCUUGAUGUUUCUUCUUCCCUCUUUGAAACACUUCUUCUGAAACUCUCUAAAGGAAGCCACCAACACCACAGUCACCAUCUUAUUCGUUACUUCUUCUUAUUCCUUUGAUUUAUUACUUCUUCUUCUUCCUCCUCCUUUUGAUUCUACAGUAGCGGUACCUGCAACACCACCGUCACUGGCCUACACCAUCAUCACUAUUCACUAGCCUACACCACCAUUACCAGCAUCACCACCUUUAAAGCUCAAUUGAAACCCUAGAUUUGGCCGGUUUUGGCAAAAUAUCGGGCCGACCUGCCUAUGUGCAGGCUUAAUUUGGAAUAGCUUGGAUUCCACCAUACGACUUCCUCUUAUAAACUGGAUUACACCCAUUUAUUUAACUGACCGUUUGUAACGUCGUUAGCAAAACCGCGGAGAGACAACACUUAUGUGAGGAUUUACACCAAAUUAAUUACUUACAUUUGGCUUACACCAUAUACUUAAACUCCCGUCUUUCUCUUCUUCUCUUUUGGUGGACAAUAUCAAUAAACCCUAAUUUUUUGCUCGCAUAAUCCCAAUUAACUCCUGCAAUCUCCACUAUCAACUCCUUUCUUCUCCUAAUCAGGCCUAUCAAGUACCAAUAUAACUGAUAAAUUUUGGUUACUCUAUUUACCCCUACAAUUGCAGCUAAGGAGCUACGCUGAGCAACACCAUGGUCUCCUAUGUUAAUUUGUGUGCCUGCAUACAUGAAAUUUAUCAGAUACUGAAGUUUCCUUGCGGUGCUGAGUCGAGGCAAAAUUUUCUCAAUAACUGUAUAACACCAUGAAAGUGUGAAAUUGAAUAGCUUUCUUUGAAACUCAUUCUAGCUGAACAAAGUAACAAUGCGAGAAGGAUACAUGAACACCAAUUGGAGUAAACAUAUGGAGCAACUGUAUGGUACAGAACAACAACUAUGACAAAAACUCAGAUACUAUCUUUUGUUCGAAAGAGAAAUUUCGUGUCCACUUCUAUUUCGUUUUAUCAGCAAGUAAUACAGAUAAACCUUAUGAAUCACAUAUGUAGUCAAUUAUAGUAUGAACAGAGCAGUGCAGCAUCAAGAGCUUACAUUUUAUUAUAGACAUCGAGUAGGCUAGAGGUUUCAUCCGAACUUCCUAAAGUUGAGUCAUAAAACUUCCUAAACUUCUAUCGUCCUAAUCAUUAUUGUCUCUAAAAAGAUACAUAUUUCGUGGAUUGAUUAUUGCAGGUUUGUUCCAGAAAAUGGCAAGGACGUGCUAAGCAGAUUAUUGUUAGGCUCACAUUUAGUUAAGGAAGUAGCAUAAAAUACUGAAUGAAACCAGGAUGCUUUCUGCUUCCUCUGAUGAUUUGUUCCUCUCUCUUGAACACCAUCAUGUAUAUUCUUUCUUUUUGUGCGACAGUUGCACAUUGUGGCAAGAUUUUGAAACUAGGGAAGUUCAAGAAUUCCUUUUAUUGCAAUCAUGUAAUAACAUUUUCAUGAGGCUAUUUAAACUUACCUUUCUCUUUCUAGAA